CCCACAGUUAAGAACCAUGGGACCCAGUGUCACUUAACUGAGGGAGCAGCAAAGAAAGAGGAAGUAGUAUACUGGACACUGCCUAUUAUGCUAUAAAGAGGAUGCUGAUUGGCUGUUGCUAGGAAGAUAUACCUCAUGUUAUUUACUGGUUUCUUUUAUACUGAUUUAAUGUUAUUUUUCUUUGCUGCUGAGGUAAAUAAAGAAAGAGUGCAGCAUAAUAGGAGCCUCCGUGUUUUAAUAAAAUCACUGGAGCAUGGCCAUUGUGGGUGUGUCAUUACUGAUUUUCUUAGAGAAUCACUGGAGCAUGGCCAUUGGUGGAUAGUCCAGCAGAAAUACAGGAAGUAGGGAAAAAUCAAAGUGGGAAAUUACAUUAAAUCAGGAGGAGCAGACGAUCAAAG
Non-coding RNA from Pelobates cultripes (western spadefoot toad), 398 nucleotides. The record is from the annotation of a GenBank genome assembly. Lineage: Eukaryota; Metazoa; Chordata; Amphibia; Anura; Pelobatidae.